Strigops habroptila (Kakapo) is the source of this 2099-nucleotide long non-coding RNA. RefSeq lists it as uncharacterized. The record is from RefSeq and is a predicted model, not a curated record. NCBI's taxonomy places the organism in Eukaryota, Metazoa, Chordata, Aves, Psittaciformes, Psittacidae. The transcript has 3 exons.
GCGGAGCGGCCGGCGCCGCCGGUGCCGGACACAGCCGGUCGCAGCCGGCCCCGCCGGCCCCAGCGCAGGGCAGAGCUGAGCCCCUCAGCCACGGGCGGGCGCCUCGGGGAAAGCCUGGACUUUCAUCUACAAAGAGGAAAACUUGCGUGUGAAGUGGUCACUGUAGAAUAAAGCUUCUGGAAAUGUUAUUCCUCCCUUCAGAGUGCUAACAUCCUUCAUGACCUUGGAAGACACCUUUAUUUCUACCUUCUUUAUUUUUAAUUUUGCAAUUAUUUCUACUGGCAAUGGAGAGAAGGCACCUUUCUCUGGACACCACUAAUCCCUCCAUGAAUCCACCAUGUGCUUUUCCAGAAACCUGUGACAUAAGCCUGCAUGCAUUUCAUCUUUUCAGUAUUGGCCAGAACCAAGAGAAAGAAUGAAGUUACUACAUGUGAUAUUGCUGCCUAUUCUGCAAGUCUCUAGACAUUUACAUACGUAUCUACCACAUUUUGGUCACUGCAAAACUCUGAAACUAAUGGCAGUGGCUUUCAGAACAUGGUGCUUGUAUCAGUUUGAAUGAAAAUACUGAGCACAAGCUUGAUCAUAAUCUGUUUCAAGAGACAGAAGUACAAAACAAUCUCAAACCCAUCCAGACAGAAAUUUAAUGGUGACAUACUAAGAAGCCAUCUUGGCCAUAAGAGGACCUUCACUAAGUAAAAAUACUGUGACCCUACCUCUGAAAGUAUCAAAUGAACUUCUGUAAGCAGGAAGACAAAAAUAAUAGAAAAAUGGCUAAAUGCCAAGAGUACAACCAGAUGGUUGUGAGCAUUGGGAACAGUAAAUGAACACCGGGCAGUGAACAAAUAGAUAAAUGACAGAUGCAGAAUGUGCCUAGAAGUACUUCAUUGAACUGCCUUGGGAAAGGCAUUUGAGAAAGGCUUGCGGAGAAAAAUGAGGAUUAUGUCUUCUCACAAUACUACUUUCGUGUGUGUGUGAAAUAAUACUUCAUUUUAGAUUUUGCAUAUGGACCUAGAAUUUCAAUCUAAACAACAUUUUUUUUAAUCUGUCAUGUUAUCUCUAAGUAGACAUUUAGGCAUAACCCAUUCAGUUUCUAGAAAGAUCAAACCACUGCAGUGCCAAGAUUUAUUAGGGUUUAACAGAACAUGCUUGAUGUCUGUGUAGCUAAUACUAUAAACAACAAAUGAGUUCUCUAUUGACCAGGAGUUCCUUAGAUGAAAUACUCAGUAUGCCUUUGAAGGAAUUGGGCUCAUGAGACUCCUUUAGUGCUCAUCCCACCUUGUUGAAUUUCACAUGAAUUUAAAAAUAAUAAUUGUUUGCAUAGCUGAAUAAUUAUGCUGCUUUGACUGACUAAUUGCUUAUAUAACAGGUUCAAUCUAAGGUUUUUAAGUAUGAGUAUGAUCACAUGUUUCAACCUUUCUAAAAGGCUUAUUAAGAGGAAGAUGACCAUCAGCUGGUUUGAACACUAACUGGGUAAUUACAAAGCUACUUUAGAAACAAAGGAGUCAGCCUGAAAAGUAACCAUAAAAGAAGCAAAGAAUUGAGAAUUAGUGACACCUCAGAGAGAAAACAGCAGCAGUCAGCCCCUGUUUUGACACUGCUGGUGGUCAUUCCACAAGCAUCACAAUCUCUGCCUAGGGCUGAUGCUGCAGCCUCCCUGUGGGGCUCUGGGAGAAGACUGCAGACAGCUAGGACAGCAACUGCAGAACACAGCAAGCAGGAACCCACAUCUUGGCAUGAGUAGGAACUUGUGAAGAGGUUCCUUACUUUACUGGUGGGCAGAUGGUAAGAAGCAGCAUGGGAACACACAGAGCUGGAGCACCCACACCUCUCACAGGAUGGGUGUGCGCUCAGGGAACUUGCACUGUCCCACAGAAAAGAUGGCAUGCUGGUAGCCCAAACAUAACUGUAUGAAUAUGUGAGUGAUUAGAAUUAUUUGCGGUUAGAUAUGGAAAUAUGCUUAGAAAUUUGUAGCUGUAUUUGUAAGUGGCUAACUAGCACUGUUUACCUAUUGAAUUAUUGAUACUCAUCCUGAAUGUAUAGUUCAGUGGUUGCCUGCAAUUAUGUAUUGUUAAGAAAUCAAUAAACUACUUCUGUCCUGA